RNAcentral lists this ribosomal RNA (615 nucleotides) under Chryseobacterium tructae. RNAcentral's name for it is "bacterial SSU rRNA". Lineage: Bacteria; Pseudomonadati; Bacteroidota; Flavobacteriia; Flavobacteriales; Weeksellaceae. The record is from RNAcentral.
CGAGCGGUAUUUGUUCUUCGGAACAGAGAGAGCGGCGUACGGGUGCGGAACACGUGUGCAACCUGCCUUUAUCUGGGGGAUAGCCUUUCSAAAGGAAGAUUAAUACCCCAUAAUAUAUUKGUCGGCAUCGAUGAAUAUUGAAAACUCCGGUGGAUAGAGAUGGGCACGCGCAAGAUUAGAUAGUUGGKGAGGUAACGGCUCACCAAGUCUGCGAUCUUUAGGGGGSCUGAGAGGGKGAUCCCCCACACUGGUACUGAGACACGGACCAGACUCCUACGGGAGGCAGCAGUGAGGAAUAUUGGACAAUGGGUGAGAGCCUGAUCCAGCCAUCCCGCGUGAAGGACGACGGCCCUAUGGGUUGUAAACUUCUUUUGUAUAGGGAUAAACCUACUCUCGUGAGAGUAGCUGAAGGUACUAUACGAAUAAGCACCGGCUAACUCCGUGCCAGCAGCCGCGGUAAUACGGAGGGUGCAAGCGUUAUCCGGAUUUAUUGGGUUUAAAGGGUCCGUARGCGGAUCUGUAAGUCAGUGGUGAAAUCUCACAGCUUAACUGUGAAACUGCCAUUGAUACUGCAGGUCUUGAGUGUUAUUGAAGUAGCUGGAAUAAGUAGUGUAG